UACAUAGGGUGCAAGCGUUAUCCGGAAUUAUUGGGCGUAAAGCGUCCGUAGGUGGUUUAUUAAGUCUGAAGUUAAAGCCCGGGGCUCAACCCCGGCACGCUUUGGAUACUGAUAAACUAGAAUCAUCGAGAGGUUAGUGGAACUCCAUGUGAAGCGGUGGAAUGCGUAGAUAUAUGGAAGAACACCAAUGGCGAAGGCAACUAACUGGCGAUGUAUUGACACUGAGGGACGAAAGCGUGGGUAGCAAACAGG
RNAcentral lists this ribosomal RNA (252 nucleotides) under uncultured bacterium. RNAcentral's name for it is "partial 16S ribosomal RNA". It matches the Rfam family "Bacterial small subunit ribosomal RNA", at positions 524 to 776 of the family's 1533-position model. The record is from RNAcentral.